Molecule: unclassified non-coding RNA, 391 nt
Filed under: soil metagenome
Description: partial contains 5.8S ribosomal RNA, internal transcribed spacer 2, and large subunit ribosomal RNA
Rfam family: 5.8S ribosomal RNA (bases 1-122)
Source: RNAcentral
GAUGAAGAACGCAGCGAAAUGCGAUACUUGGUGUGAAUUGCAGAAUCCCGUGAACCAUCGAGUCUUUGAACGCAAGUUGCGCCCGAAGCCAUUAGGCCGAGGGCACGCCUGCCUGGGCGUCACACGUCGUUGCCCCCCCAUCUACUCCUUCGGGAUUGCGGGGGGCGGAUGAUUGCCUCCCGUGCGCCUCGUCGCGCGGUUGGCAUAAAUGCCAAGUCCUCGGCGACGCACGCCACGACAAUCGGUGGUUGCGAAACCUCGGUUGCCCGUCGUGUGCGGUCGUCGCGCAUCGAGGGCUCGAAAAAAUUGCCGGGCUCCGGCUCGGCUUUCAACGCGACCCCAGGUCAGGCGGGGUUACCCGCUGAAUUUAAGCAUAUCAAUAAGCGGAGGA